This 255-nucleotide ribosomal RNA is filed under the name uncultured bacterium. Its description in RNAcentral is "partial 16S ribosomal RNA". It matches the Rfam family "Bacterial small subunit ribosomal RNA", at positions 1246 to 1500 of the family's 1533-position model. The record is from RNAcentral.
GAAGCGAAGCGGUGACGUGGAGCAAACCUCAGAAAGCCAAUCUCAGUUCGGAUUGUAGGCUGCAACUCGCCUACAUGAAGUUGGAAUCGCUAGUAAUCGCGAAUCAGAAUGUCGCGGUGAAUACGUUCCCGGGUCUUGUACACACCGCCCGUCACACCACGGGAGUUUACAACACCCGAAGUCAGUGGCCUAACCGCAAGGAGGGAGCUGCCUAAGGUGGGGUAGAUGAUUGGGGUGAAGUCGUAACAAGGUAAC